Molecule: ribosomal RNA, 250 nt
Filed under: uncultured bacterium
Lineage: Bacteria
Description: partial 16S ribosomal RNA
Rfam family: Bacterial small subunit ribosomal RNA
Source: RNAcentral
UACGAAGGGGGCUAGCGUUGCUCGGAAUUACUGGGCGUAAAGCGCACGUAGGCGGUCUUUUAAGUCGGGGGUGAAAUCCUGGAGCUCAACUCCAGAACUGCCUUCGAUACUGGAAGACUUAGAGUCCGGGGAGAGGUGAGUGGAACUGCGAGUGUAGAGGUGAAAUUCGUAGAUAUUCGCAAGAACACCAGUGGCGAAGGCGGCUCACUGGCCCGGUACUGACGCUGAGGUGCGAAAGCGUGGGGAGCAA